GUGGGGAAUCUUGCGCAAUGGGCGAAAGCCUGACGCAGCCAUGCCGCGUGAAUGAUGAAGGUCUUAGGAUUGUAAAAUUCUUUCACCGGGGACGAUAAUGACGGUACCCGGAGAAGAAGCUCCGGCUAACUUCGUGCCAGCAGCCGCGGUAAUACGAAGGGGGCUAGCGUUGCUCGGAAUUACUGGGUGUAAAGGGCGCGUAGGCGGACAGCUUAGUCAGAGGUGAAAGCCCAGGGCUCAACCUUGGAAUUGCCUUUGAUACUGGCUGUCUUGAGUUUGGGAGAGGUGAGUGGAACGCCGAGUGUAGAGGUGAAAUUCGUAGAUAUUCGGAAGAACACCAGUGGCGAAGGCGACUCACUGGCCCAAUACUGACGCUGAGGCGCGAAAGCGUGGGGAGCAAACAGGAUUAGAUACCCCGGUAGUCC
Molecule: ribosomal RNA, 425 nt
Filed under: uncultured bacterium
Lineage: Bacteria
Description: partial 16S ribosomal RNA
Rfam family: Bacterial small subunit ribosomal RNA
Source: RNAcentral